Molecule: non-coding RNA, 108 nt
Organism: Coniosporium uncinatum
Lineage: Eukaryota; Fungi; Ascomycota; Dothideomycetes
Source: the annotation of a GenBank genome assembly
UCCUCCGUGGCGCAAUUGGCUAGCGCGUCUGACUGUUAUGGAUAAAAAUCCGAUUCGAUUGGGUGCCUUGACAUCAGGAGGUUCGUGGUUCGAGCCCACGCGGGGGAG